RNAcentral lists this ribosomal RNA (301 nucleotides) under uncultured bacterium. RNAcentral's name for it is "partial 16S ribosomal RNA". It matches the Rfam family "Bacterial small subunit ribosomal RNA", at positions 509 to 807 of the family's 1533-position model. The record is from RNAcentral.
CAGUCGCCGCGGUAAUACAGAGGGUGCGAUCGUUAAUCGGAUUUACUGGGCGUAAAGCGUGCGCAGGCGGUUCGUUAAGACAGAUGUGAAAUCCCCGGGCUUAACCUGGGAACUGCAUUUGUGACUGACGGGCUAGAGUAUGGCAGAGGGGGGUAGAAUUCCACGUGUAGCAGUGAAAUGCGUAGAGAUGUGGAGGAAUACCGAUGGCGAAGGCAGCCCCCUGGGCCAAUACUGACGCUCAUGCACGAAAGCGUGGGGAGCAAACAGGAUUAGAUACCCCCGUAGUCCCUGUCUCUUAUAC